RNAcentral lists this long non-coding RNA (1518 nucleotides) under Homo sapiens (human). RNAcentral describes it as "HSALNT0164491". The record is from RNAcentral. Lineage: Eukaryota; Metazoa; Chordata; Mammalia; Primates; Hominidae.
CUUGAGGCCAGUUCAGUACCAGCCUAGCCAACAUGGUGAAACCCCAUCUCUACUAAAAAUACAAAAAAUUAGCCAAGUAUGGUGGCAUGCACCUGUAGUCCCAGCUACUUAGGAGGCUAAGGCACAAGAAUUGGUUGAACCUGGGAGGCAGAGGUUGCAGUGAACCAAGAUCAUGUCACUGUACUCCAGCCUGAAUGACAGAGACUCUGCUCAAAAAAAAAAAGAAAGAAAGAAAGAAAGAAGAAAUAGAUAAAAACAACAAAUGUUUAAAGGUUAAAAUGGUAAAUUUUCUGUUAUGUGUAUUUUACCACAACAAGAAAAGAUAAAAUGUUAAAUAAAAAGAGCAACUAAAGAGAAUUUAACUCUAGCACAUCCAUUUUUCAGGCUGAAAUGAAAGAACAGGUGACACUAACUCAAAUCCACAUGAAGUGGAGAGCAUUGGAAAAGAUGAGGAACUGAGAUGAGGAGCAGCCCUGGACUGAGUGAAUUGAACCCUCUGGGUGUGUUACAUUCAGGAUGGUGGAACAAGACCCCUGGGAAGAAGUCCCACUUAUCUGAAGAGCCAGAUUUCUCAAAGGACAAGUAACCCUAGAGGGGAGUAUCAAUGGGAAAGCUAUGGAUUCCUUGCCACAUCCCCGUUACAGAACUAUGCUUGUUAAGAACAGAAUCUCAAGAAAACAUAUCAAGAGGUUGAAUGAAGACAUUUCUCUCUUCUGUAUUCCUGAUCUCCUGGGGUUACAAGAGCACAGGUUUAGGCAAACAUAGCCGAUUUCUCUCUAAGGUGUCUCUUCACUUCUUGAUGCACUGGAGAUCCUUGUGGAAUAAUACAUUAGUGAUAAUGAGUGUUGGGUGCUCACAAAUCACCCACAAUUCAUUGGCUGAAGGCAUCUUAAACGUGGACUUUUUGGCUUUUAUUGUCUUUAGCUGCUUCUUUUAACAUACUUUAGUUUGAGUGUACAGAUUUGGGGUUUUCAAACUUGUUUUUAAUUAAGGCAUGGUUUAUUUUUAUUGCUUGAGAUAAAAUGCAGUCUGAGGGUCACAAAUGUAAUUUACAAAAUAAAGUGCAUCUGGGCAGACCAUAAGAAAAAAAAAGAACAGAAAGCCUAAAUAAAGAGUGGGCCAGGAUUCUUAAGUUUAUUUAGUAACUUCUUGGAGAAUAAAAAUCCCAGCACCUGCAUUAUAAAAAAGCACACCUUAUAAGUGUCCUUCUCUUCGAAACACCUAAGUGAACUACACUGAAUUAUGAACUAACUAAUGGUUUGUAAAAAUUCGCCUUGAGCAAGCUAUUGAAGAUACUAAAUAAACGAGGCUGAGACAGAGUCUGAGGAAACCCAACCUGCUGUUUGUUUUAUCAGUAAUGUAACUCAAAAGUAGCCAAGCGGAUGGCUGGAGUUUUCUCUGUGUUUUGUUUCCCUGGGCUGAGCCUGUGAAUGCCAAGAUUUAAUCUAAAGAGGUUUGUGUUUUAAAAAACUAACAACCAAGUAAUAAAACACCUAUAAAAACUGUUUAUAAUGGAAC